RNAcentral lists this ribosomal RNA (460 nucleotides) under uncultured bacterium. Its description in RNAcentral is "partial 16S ribosomal RNA". It matches the Rfam family "Bacterial small subunit ribosomal RNA", at positions 338 to 795 of the family's 1533-position model. The record is from RNAcentral.
CCUACGGGCGGCAGCAGUGAGGAAUAUUGGUCAAUGGACGAGAGUCUGAACCAGCCAAGUAGCGUGAAGGAUGACUGCCCUAUGGGUUGUAAACUUCUUUUAUCUGGGAAUAAAAUGUUCCACGUGUGGGCUUUUGUAUGUACCAUAUGAAUAAGGAUCGGCUAACUCCGUGCCAGCAGCCGCGGUAAUACGGAGGAUCCGAGCGUUAUCCGGAUUUAUUGGGUUUAAUGGGAGCGUAGGUGGAUUGUUAAGUCAGUUGUGAAAGUUUGCGGCUCAACCGUAAAAUUGCAGUUGAAACUGGCAGUCUUGAGUACAGUAGAGGUGGGCGGAAGUCGUGGUGUAGCGGUGAAAUGCUUAGAUAUCACGAAGAACUCCGAUUGCGAAGGCAGCUCACUGGACUGCAACUGACACUGAGGCUCGAAAGUGUGGGUAUCAAACAGGAUUAGAUACCCGAGUAGUC